AUAUCUCUCUGUACGGGAAGGAUGAGAAGCUUCGACCAAGGUUCGAUUCGAGCGCAGCGAGAAAGCGUUGCCGCAGGCAA
This 80-nucleotide small RNA is filed under the name Salmonella enterica. Its description in RNAcentral is "partial RtT sRNA". It matches the Rfam family "RtT RNA", at positions 1 to 79 of the family's 130-position model. Rfam says of the family: This family represents a bacterial cis-regulatory element known as RtT RNA. The exact function of RtT is unknown although it is thought that it may be involved in changing the cellular response in relation to amino acid starvation. Lineage: Bacteria; Pseudomonadati; Pseudomonadota; Gammaproteobacteria; Enterobacterales; Enterobacteriaceae. The record is from RNAcentral. RNAcentral also lists the same sequence under 2 other names.